GCCUCGGUGGUGGAAUUGGUAGACACGCCGGACUUAAAAUCCUGUGACCUGAAGGGUCGUGCCGGUUCGAUUCCGGCCCGAGGUA
Molecule: transfer RNA, 85 nt
Filed under: bacterium
Lineage: Bacteria
Description: tRNA-Leu
Rfam family: tRNA
About the family: Transfer RNA (tRNA) molecules are approximately 80 nucleotides in length.
Source: RNAcentral